GUCCGCGUAGCUCAAUUGGAUAGAGCGUUGCCCUCCGAAGGCAAAGGUUGCAGGUUCGAAUCCCGCCGUGGACG
RNAcentral lists this transfer RNA (74 nucleotides) under Phycisphaera sp. Its description in RNAcentral is "tRNA-Arg". It matches the Rfam family "tRNA". Rfam says of the family: Transfer RNA (tRNA) molecules are approximately 80 nucleotides in length. Their secondary structure includes four short double-helical elements and three loops (D, anti-codon, and T loops). Lineage: Bacteria; Pseudomonadati; Planctomycetota; Phycisphaerae; Phycisphaerales; Phycisphaeraceae. The record is from RNAcentral.